This 253-nucleotide ribosomal RNA is filed under the name uncultured bacterium. Its description in RNAcentral is "partial 16S ribosomal RNA". It matches the Rfam family "Bacterial small subunit ribosomal RNA", at positions 524 to 776 of the family's 1533-position model. The record is from RNAcentral.
UACGUAGGUGGCAAGCGUUGUCCGGAAUUAUUGGGCGUAAAGCGCGCGCAGGCGGUUUCUUAAGUCUGAUGUGAAAGCCCCCGGCUUAACUGGGGAGGGUCAUUGGAAACUGGGAGACUUGAGUGCAGAAGAGGAGAGUGGAAUUCCACGUGUAGCGGUGAAAUGCGUAGGGAUGUGGAGGAACACCAGUGGCGAAGGCGACUUUCUGGGCUGUAACUGACGCUGAGGCGCGAAAGCGUGGGGAGCAAACAGG